CAGGCUUAACACAUGCAAGUCGAGGGGCAGCAUGGUCUUAGCUUGCUAAGGCCGAUGGCGACCGGCGCACGGGUGAGUAACACGUAUCCAACCUGCCGUCUACUCUUGGACAGCCUUCUGAAAGGAAGAUUAAUACAAGAUGGCAUCAUGAGUCCGCAUGUUCACAUGAUUAAAGGUAUUCCGGUAGACGAUGGGGAUGCGUUCCAUUAGAUAGUAGGCGGGGUAACGGCCCACCUAGUCUUCGAUGGAUAGGGGUUCUGAGAGGAAGGUCCCCCACAUUGGAACUGAGACACGGUCCAAACUCCUACGGGAGGCAGCAGUGAGGAAUAUUGGUCAAUGGGCGAGAGCCUGAACCAGCCAAGUAGCGUGAAGGAUGACUGCCCUAUGGGUUGUAAACUUCUUUUAUAAAGGAAUAAAGUCGGGUAUGGAUACCCGUUUGCAUGUACUUUAUGAAUAAGGAUCGGCUAACUCCGUGCCAGCAGCCGCGGUAAUACGGAGGAUCCGAGCGUUAUCCGGAUUUAUUGGGUUUAAAGGGAGCGUAGAUGGAUGUUUAAGUCAGUUGUGAAAGUUUGCGGCUCAACCGUAAAAUUGCAGUUGAUACUGGAUAUCUUGAGUGCAGUUGAGGCAGGCGGAAUUCGUGGUGUAGCGGUGAAAUGCUUAGAUAUCACGAAGAACUCCGAUUGCGAAGGCAGCCUGCUAAGCUGCAACUGACAUUGAGGCUCGAAAGUGUGGGUAUCAAACAGGAUUAGAUACCCUGGUAGUCCACACGGUAAACGAUGAAUACUCGCUGUUUGCGAUAUACGGCAAGCGGCCAAGCGAAAGCGUUAAGUAUUCCACCUGGGGAGUACGCCGGCAACGGUGAAACUCAAAGGAAUUGACGGGGGCCCGCACAAGCGGAGGAACAUGUGGUUUAAUUCGAUGAUACGCGAGGAACCUUACCCGGGCUUAAAUUGCAGAUGAAUUACGGUGAAAGCCGUAAGCCGCAAGGCAUCUGUGAAGGUGCUGCAUGGUUGUCGUCAGCUCGUGCCGUGAGGUGUCGGCUUAAGUGCCAUAACGAGCGCAACCCUUGUUGUCAGUUACUAGCAGGUUCCGCUGAGGACUCUGACAAGACUGCCAUCGUAAGAUGUGAGGAAGGUGGGGAUGACGUCAAAUCAGCACGGCCCUUACGUCCGGGGCUACACACGUGUUACAAUGGGGGGUACAGAGGGCCGCUACCACGCGAGUGGAUGCCAAUCCCCAAAACCUCUCUCAGUUCGGACUGGAGUCUGCAACCCGACUCCACGAAGCUGGAUUCGCUAGUAAUCGCGCAUCAGCCACGGCGCGGUGAAUACGUUCCCGGGCCUUGUACACACCGCCCGUCAAGCCAUGGGAGCCGGGGGUACCUGAAGUGCGUAACCGCAAGGAGCGCCCUAGGGUAAAACUGGUGACUGGG
Molecule: ribosomal RNA, 1432 nt
Filed under: uncultured organism
Description: 16S ribosomal RNA
Rfam family: Bacterial small subunit ribosomal RNA
Source: RNAcentral